Molecule: non-coding RNA, 121 nt
Organism: Picea glauca (white spruce)
Lineage: Eukaryota; Viridiplantae; Streptophyta; Pinopsida; Pinales; Pinaceae
Source: Rfam
ACAUGCUUACAAUAUAACAUUAAUGCACCAGAUCCCAUUAGAACUACACAGUUAAGUGUGCUCAGGAUAAACUAGUACUAGGAUGGGUGACUACCUGAGAAGUCCUAGUGUUUUACAUGCC